CGGGGACACCGGUCAGUCCCCAUCACCUGCACCCUUCCUCCAGCUAGUCUGGGGCAUCAAAACACCGGACUUUUAAGCACAUUGAGACGGCUCCUGAGCCCCUGGCUACUUUUCAAUGAAACCAGACAGAGGAAUGCCAGAGCAGACCUCAGAGCUAUCUUCAAGACCUGAAGAAAUCAUUCAUUACCCUUACCUAACUUCCAACCAAUCAGCUUCCAGCACAGUCUGGAACCCCUAACCCCAGGUACCUUGUGAUUUUUCCCUAUAUAAUCUGUAACUUAGAUGCCAUUUGGGGAGUUGGAUCUUUAGAGGAUUGGCCUAUUAACUAUUAAACUUUUUCUUUCUAUACUGCAAA
Molecule: long non-coding RNA, 355 nt
Organism: Myotis lucifugus (little brown bat)
Lineage: Eukaryota; Metazoa; Chordata; Mammalia; Chiroptera; Vespertilionidae
Exons: 2
Source: RefSeq, a predicted model, not a curated record